GCCUACGGGGGGCAGCAGUGGGGAAUAUUGCACAAUGGGCGAAAGCCUGAUGCAGCAACGCCGCGUGAAGGAAGAAGGGUUUCGGCUCGUAAACUUCUAUCAACAGGGACGAAAGAAAUGACGGUACCUGAAUAAGAAGCCCCGGCUAACUACGUUCCAGCAGCCGCGGGAAUACGUAGGGGGCAAGCGUUAUCCGGAAUUACUUGGUGUAAAGGGUGAGUAGGCGGCAUGGUAAGCCAGAUGUGAAAGCCUUGGGCUUAACCCGAGGAUUGCAUUUGGAACUAUCAAGCUAGAGUACAGGAGAG
RNAcentral lists this ribosomal RNA (305 nucleotides) under uncultured bacterium. RNAcentral describes it as "bacterial SSU rRNA". It matches the Rfam family "Bacterial small subunit ribosomal RNA", at positions 337 to 656 of the family's 1533-position model. The record is from RNAcentral.